This 633-nucleotide ribosomal RNA is filed under the name Actinomortierella wolfii. RNAcentral describes it as "SSU rRNA". It matches the Rfam family "Eukaryotic small subunit ribosomal RNA", at positions 1146 to 1804 of the family's 1831-position model. The record is from RNAcentral. Lineage: Eukaryota; Fungi; Mortierellomycota; Mortierellomycetes; Mortierellales; Mortierellaceae.
UGUAGUUAAAGGAUCAACCCCUACAACUGGAGCAUUACGAUUGGAUUGUUCAACUCGAGGAAACUCACGGGGUCCCGACAUAGUAAGGAUAGACUGAUUGAGAGUUUAAUGUAGAUUGAAUAGGUGGAGGUGCUUGGCCGUUCUUAGGUGGAGGAGUGAUUUGUCGGUUUAAUUCCGUUAACAAACGAGACCUUAACCUGUUAAAUAGUUAGGCCAACGUUUGUUGGUCGACAACUUCUUAGAGGGACUAUUGGCUAUUAGCCAAUGGAAGUUUGAGGCAAUAACAGGUCUGUGAUGCCCUUAGAUGUUCUGGGCCGCACGCGCGCUACACUGAUCAAGUCAGCGAGUUUACAACCUUGGCCGGAAGGUCUGGGUAAUCUUUUGAAACUUGAUCGUGCUGGGGAUAGUCCAUUGCAAUUAUUGGACUUCAACGAGGAAUUCCUAGUAAGCGUGAGUCAUCAGCUCACGUUGAUUACGUCCCUGCCCUUUGUACACACCGCCCGUCGCUACUACCGAUUGAAUGGCUUAGUGAGGCUUUCGGAUUGGAACUAGGCAGCUGGCAACAGCAGCCUGGAUCUGAAAAGUUAUCCAAACUUGGUCAUUAGAGGAAGUAAAAGCCUUCAACCGGCUCCC